Chionomys nivalis (European snow vole) is the source of this 185-nucleotide non-coding RNA. RefSeq annotates it as small Cajal body-specific RNA 16. Lineage: Eukaryota; Metazoa; Chordata; Mammalia; Rodentia; Cricetidae. The transcript has a single exon. The record is from RefSeq and is a predicted model, not a curated record.
AGUACUCAUGCACACCCUUAGUACCAGCCCUAGCAAGGAAUAUAAGAUUGGAGUGUACCAGACAGCCUGACCUUGACCUAAAUAAAAUUCCCAGAGGAACACAUUCCCUGGGGUUGGAAUUUGCAGUAACAGGUGUGAGCACCCUAGCAGCAGUUUGGUGAUCAUGUAUGAUACUGCAAACAGGA